CAAACACCAAAAAGAAGUAAGUAAGCAGAAUAGUUGGAUCAAUUGGCUAACAAAACUUUUAUUCAAAGAGCAAAAAUGUAAACUUAUAAUGGGAAAAAUCCCACCGUUGUAUGUUUUCUUUCAACCAUGACUUCACAUUUUAGCCAAGUUUGUUUUGAAAAGAAAGAAGGGACAAGGGCAGACCAAACUGUUCUCUUCAAGUUGGGUAUGUUCUGUUCAUUAAAAGACCAUUACGGUGUUCACUGAAAAAGUCAGGCUGAAUAGUAUGAUAACAUCUUAAUAACAAGAACAAACAGAAUUAUAUAACCUUGUUUCAUAGCGAAAUGAAGGCAACAUAACAAACUAUUAGGGCUGAUUACUCCAGGAGAGUGACAGCUGCAGCAUAUUAGGGACAGGCAUCAAAGUGCAUUUUUCUUUUUUCUUUGGCAUACUUUGUAGAUCUAUAUUAACAUGGGAACUUAUUUUUUAAACAUAUUUACAAGACAUUAAAGAACAUGUGUAAGUGCAAGAAAACUUUCUUCACGACGGCUUUCACUGGCGCAUUUGAUAGUCAAGAUCUCCCUUCUGAGGUCAGGAUGAAAAUGGAGGUCGUAGAGCUCAUCCAGACCUCCCACUAACAUAGACACUUGGAUGCCAAACAGGCUAAUUCUGCUUUUCUACUUACAUGUGAAUAAACGCAUGUACACACCAACUCAAAUUCAUACAGACUUCAUGUAAGACCCCAGUCAAUUCCAUUUGAAGUACAGUUUAUGUGAUCUGAAGGGUGUCUGUGUCUGCUGCUCAGUUGACGGUAUUCAUACGAUUCACUGUCCCAAAGACCCCAAACAACUGGCUUAGUCAGCUUCCUGCGCUCUCUUCUCCAUCCACCAGUCCUCUACAAGUCCCUCUGAGGCUGGAGACAGAGUCAUUUUUCAUGUGGUUUUCUCAUUUCCUCUCCUCAGAGGAGGAGGGUGGACGGGACCUUAUGAUAAUGCUCAGUGGGACCCUGGGGUAUGCUCCCUCAGACUGCUUCAGGGAGGGAGAGAUCUUGUCAGAAGGUAUUUUCUUUUCAGGAGGAUGGGAUGAGGAAGCUUCCAAGAUCCUGGAGCUCCAGCAGUCAUUCCUCAAUCUAGUGAAGACCAUUCGGAGGGGUUGGACUGGAACAUGACUGGACAAUGGAUGACAGGACUCGGUGAAAGGCUGUGUGAAAUUCAGGAGAGCUCUGUUGCAAGGAGGCUGUUGUUCAACACUGGUCGCUUGAGCACGUGCCGAUUGUGUCUUGUGGAUUUUUUCUGGGAGCUGACUAUCUGAUUUUGGAGCACCAGUACCUGUUGUAUUUGAGGACUUUUUCAUUUCCCUACAAAGAAGUAAUCUGAACACACAUACAUUAAGGUUUUAAGGUCAUAAUCCCCACAUUAUCACAUUUGGACUAGACUCAAAUGUCAUAUGAUUGUUGUGUUAAUUUUAGAACCCCUUUAAAAAGAAAGCAUUGUGCUUUUAGUGUCGUUUACAAUUUAUAUUCUUUUUAUAAUAAAAAUACCAAGUGGUUUGUCGGAA
This is a long non-coding RNA of Mesocricetus auratus (golden hamster), 1536 nucleotides long. RefSeq lists it as uncharacterized. Lineage: Eukaryota; Metazoa; Chordata; Mammalia; Rodentia; Cricetidae. The transcript has 2 exons. The record is from RefSeq and is a predicted model, not a curated record.